AUGGGCGAUGGCCCCAAGGCGGGAGCGGAGCCCGAGGCCGCCGUAUUUGAAAGGGACUACCUAGAUGACGACAACGACGAGGAAUUGGAGCCUGAAGUAACCUUAGGUGUCUUGCGAAAACCAGAGGAACCACUAGACUUUCACUCUCUUCUUCCCCAGCACUUCCCCAGUAAAGCUGGCGGUGCCCCGGCCUGGCUUGAUCCUGUCAAUUUGCCAUCUGGAAAAUCCAGUUGCUGUGACUUCUGUGGUAACCCACUGCGUUUUGUCAUGCAGGUAUACGUGCCAGAUGGGUGGAAGGAGACGACCUACCACCGGGCAUUCUUUGUGUUUAUGUGUCCAUCCAUGUCGUGCUUACAACUAGACCAGCACGAGCAGGGGAAGGACAGGGCAGCAAAUCCUAGGAGGAGUGUGAAGGUCUUCAGGUGCCAGCUACCCAGAAUUAAUGCAUUUUAUGCUGCUGAAGAGCCUAAGGGGUGCACGGGAUCACAAUGUUCAGGAGGUGAAAUUUUGUGCAGCCACUGUAGCAAAGCAAGCUACUGUUUUAGGAAGCAUCAGGAAUUGCAUUGGCACGCUAGUCACGAGAACGAUUGCUCUCAAAUACCAGGUUCACCAGAUGCUUCUAUUCUGCCAGUCGCAGCGAGAGGUUUAUUUCCUGGCCACGCAUGGCCUGAAUAUGCGGUGCAUCAUAACCCCGAGCCUCCAUGUUCGACUAGUUCUGUCAAGGAUAAUUCAGAACUGAAGAUGGAUGAUGAGGACAAUACAUGCUGGGCAACUUUCAUGGACCGUGUUUCAAGACAGAUUCAAGUCUUGAGGUACUGUGCGGAGGAAGAUGCAGAACCUCUUUGGGCAGCAUCAACUGGGUCUCUGACAUGUGAUGAUAUCCCUCUGUGCAUCUAUUGUAAUGGGCAACUUCGCUAUGAAUUUCAGCUAAUGUCUCAACUGCUCCAUUACUUCUGUGUUGAAAAUGAACAAGACCCCGUCGAUUGGGCAACAAUAGUUGUGUACACAUGUCGAGAGUCACGUGAUGAAAGUGUUAGCUACAAGGAAGAAUUUGUACGUGUUCAGUUUUCUCCGCCUACAAGAAGAACAUAUCGCAGUACUCCUUAG
This 1107-nucleotide ribosomal RNA is filed under the name Triticum aestivum (bread wheat). RNAcentral describes it as "partial small subunit ribosomal RNA". The record is from RNAcentral. Lineage: Eukaryota; Viridiplantae; Streptophyta; Magnoliopsida; Poales; Poaceae.